AUUGGACGCUGGCGGCAUGCUUUACACAUGCAAGUCGAACGGUAACAGGUUAAGCUGACGAGUGGCGAACGGGGGAGUAAUGCAUCGGAACGUGCCCGAUCGUGGGGGAUAACACUUCGAAAGAAGUGCUAAUACCGCAUACGAUCUGAGGAUGAAAGCGGGGGACCGUAAGGCCUCGCGCGAUCGGAGCGGCCGAUGUCAGAUUAGGUAGUUGGUGGGGUAAAGGCUCACCAAGCCGACGAUCUGUAGCUGGUCUGAGAGGACGACCAGCCACACUGGGACUGAGACACGGCCCAGACUCCUACGGGAGGCAGCAGUGGGGAAUUUUGGACAAUGGGCGCAAGCCUGAUCCAGCAAUGCCGCGUGCAGGAAGAAGGCCUUCGGGUUGUAAACUGCUUUUGUACGGAGCGAAAAGGCUCCCUCUAAUACAGGGGGCUCAUGACGGUACCGUAAGAAUAAGCACCGGCUAACUACGUGCCAGCAGCCGCGGUAA
This 493-nucleotide ribosomal RNA is filed under the name uncultured bacterium. RNAcentral's name for it is "partial 16S ribosomal RNA". It matches the Rfam family "Bacterial small subunit ribosomal RNA", at positions 29 to 523 of the family's 1533-position model. The record is from RNAcentral.